GACGAACGCUGGCGGCGUGCCUAAUACAUGCAAGUAGAACGCACAGUUUAUACCGUAGCUUGCUACACCAUAGACUGUGAGUUGCGAACGGGUGAGUAACGCGUAGGUAACCUGCCUGGUAGCGGGGGAUAACUAUUGGAAACGAUAGCUAAUACCGCAUAAUAUUGAUUAUUGCAUGAUAAUUAAUUGAAAGGUGCAAUUGCACCACUACCAGAUGGACCUGCGUUGUAUUAGCUAGUAGGUGAGGUAACGGCUCACCUAGGCGACGAUACAUAGCCGACCUGGGAAGGUGGACGGCCCCCCUGGGACUGGGACACGGCCCAGACUCCUACGGGAGGCAGCAGUAGGGGAUCUUCGGCAAUGGACGAAAGUCUGACCGAGCAACGCCGCGUGAGUGCAGAAGGUUUUCGGAUCGUAAAGCUCUGUUGUAAGAGAAGAACGGGUGUGAGAGUGGAAAGUUCACACUGUGACGGUAUCUUACCAGAAAGGGACGGCUAACUACGUG
This 505-nucleotide ribosomal RNA is filed under the name uncultured bacterium. RNAcentral's name for it is "partial 16S ribosomal RNA". It matches the Rfam family "Bacterial small subunit ribosomal RNA", at positions 28 to 507 of the family's 1533-position model. The record is from RNAcentral.